ACUCAGGUGUUGUUGGGUAGGGGAGCGUUCUGUAAGCCUGUGAAGGUGGCCUGUGAGGGUUGCUGGAGGUAUCAGAAGUGCGAAUGCUGACAUAAGUAACGAUAAAGCGGGUGAAAAGCCCGCUCGCCGGAAGACCAAGGGUUCCUGUCCAACGUUAAUCGGGGCAGGGUGAGUCGACCCCUAAGGCGAGGCCGAAAGGCGUAGUCGAUGGGAAACGGGUUAAUAUUCCCGUACUUGGUGUUACUGCGAAGGGGGGACGGAGAAGGCUAUGUUGGCCGGGCGACGGUUGUCCCGGUUUAAGCGUGUAGGCUGGUUUUCCAGGCAAAUCCGGAAAAUCAAGGCUGAGGCGUGAUGACGAGGCACUACGGUGCUGAAGCAACAAAUGCCCUGCUUCCAGGAAAAGCCUCUAAGCAUCAGGUAACAUCAAAUCGUACCCCAAACCGACACAGGUGGUCAGGUAGAGAAUACCAAGGCGCUUGAGAGAACUCGGGUGAAGGAACUAGGCAAAAUGGUGCCGUAACUUCGGGAGAAGGCACGCUGACACGUAGGUGAAGUGAUUUACUCACGGAGCUGAAGUCAGUCGAAGAUACCAGCUGGCUGCAACUGUUUAUUAAAAACACAGCACUGUGCAAACACGAAAGUGGACGUAUACGGUGUGACGCCUGCCCGGUGCCGGAAGGUUAAUUGAUGGGGUCAGCGCAAGCGAAGCUCCUGAUCGAAGCCCCGGUAAACGGCGGCCGUAACUAUAACGGUCCUAAGGUAGCGAAAUUCCUUGUCGGGUAAGUUCCGACCUGCACGAAUGGCGUAAUGAUGGCCAGGCUGUCUCCACCCGAGACUCAGUGAAAUUGAACUCGCUGUGAAGAUGCAGUGUACCCGCGGCAAGACGGAAAGACCCCGUGAACCUUUACUAUAGCUUGACACUGAACAUUGAGCCUUGAUGUGUAGGAUAGGUGGGAGGCUUUGAAGUGUGGACGCCAGUCUGCAUGGAGCCGACCUUGAAAUACCACCCUUUAAUGUUUGAUGUUCUAACGUGGACCCGUAAUCCGGGUUGCGGACAGUGUCUGGUGGGUAGUUUGACUGGGGCGGUCUCCUCCUAAAGAGUAACGGAGGAGCACGAAGGUUGGCUAAUCCUGGUCGGACAUCAGGAGGUUAGUGCAAUGGCAUAAGCCAGCUUGACUGCGAGCGUGACGGCGCGAGCAGGUGCGAAAGCAGGUCAUAGUGAUCCGGUGGUUCUGAAUGGAAGGGCCAUCGCUCAACGGAUAAAAGGUACUCCGGGGAUAACAGGCUGAUACCGCCCAAGAGUUCAUAUCGACGGCGGUGUUUGGCACCUCGAUGUCGGCUCAUCACAUCCUGGGGCUGAAGUAGGUCCCAAGGGUAUGGCUGUUCGCCAUUUAAAGUGGUACGCGAGCUGGGUUUAGAACGUCGUGAGACAGUUCGGUCCCUAUCUGCCGUGGGCGCUGGAGAACUGAGGGGGGCUGCUCCUAGUACGAGAGGACCGGAGUGGACGCAUCACUGGUGUUCGGGUUGUCAUGCCAAUGGCACUGCCCGGUAGCUAAAUGCGGAAGAGAUAAGUGCUGAAAGCAUCUAAGCACGAAACUUGCCCCGA
This 1606-nucleotide ribosomal RNA is filed under the name Salmonella enterica subsp. enterica serovar Liverpool. RNAcentral's name for it is "partial 23S ribosomal RNA". It matches the Rfam family "Bacterial large subunit ribosomal RNA", at positions 1211 to 2802 of the family's 2925-position model. The record is from RNAcentral. Lineage: Bacteria; Pseudomonadati; Pseudomonadota; Gammaproteobacteria; Enterobacterales; Enterobacteriaceae.